UGGGAUCCCCGCAGCACAGAAUGUCAACAGUGUGUGAUUUACACUCCAUCGCAACCCUCGCUAACACUCCCCCCAUCCCACUCACACCCUGUCCUGGGAGCGGAAGAGAGAAAAAGUGGGAGGAUGUAUGGAAGAGAAGUCUCCGGGUCCGGGGUCAGAUGGCCAGUCUGCCUUUUACUUCAGUUGCCGUGGCACUAGAGGUGACUGAGGAGGAGGAGGAGCUUCUUACACUCCAGGUGGAGUACUGACUGCUGGACUACAGACGACUGGACUACAGACGACUGGACUACAGACGACUGGACCACAGACGAUGAUGGAGGACGACGGGAAAGUUGCAGAGCAUCUUAGUGAAGACAUUAUGAUGUUCAUGAGAAGACCUUAGGGACCUAUCUACAAGUGUUCAUGAGAAGUCACUCCAUCCAUUUGCGUGUUGGCUCCUUUGUUUAUGCUUGUUUAUUUACUCAUCCUUUUAUCCAUUCAUUCAUAAUUAUGUUGAACUGCAUAAAAACUGCACUUAAUGAUAUUCCAAGAUGUGGUAUUGUUGAUGUGAAAGUUCCAGUCUAUAUCAAUAACAAAUUCCAGUCUGUUCAAUCCUAUUCCUGGAUUGUUUGGUUUUCUGAAAUUAUAGACUCAGAAUCAAGAUUAGAAUGACAGGAAUUCCUUAAACUUUUGUGGAAUCAUUAAGCACUGUCAGCCUUUCCUAUCACUGUGUACACCCAUGUGUGCCUGUCAGCGCUGUAGUUUUACAGGAGAGCUAGCUACCACUGUCAUGACUAACAGGCGAAACAUGGAGCGGAGCUGUAGCUAGCCAGUCAAAAAGAAGGACGCAUGGAUAAAGCGUUCCUGACACAUCUUGCACUCAGCCACGGAGCGAUCCGACAGAAGUGAUUUAGCCUGCUCCCUGCUCUCACUCUCUCUUCUUUGGCUUCACUCAGCUCUGAUCAGUUCCACCACCUCUUUCUCUGUGUCAGGCCUAGUCCGAAAGAACCCCUCCCACAACACACACACACACACACACAUAAAUGCUUGGGCUGAUGUGUUUUCCCAUGAUGCUGGCUGGAGAGUGAGUAAAUAUGCCAGCCGCCUUAGAGCAAACAGGCUGACAGCUUGAGACAGACUCGGUCUGAUUGUACUAUGCCCUUCUGCUCAGACAACUCCAGCCCUAUGCAGACAUACACAGAUUUGGAUGGGUUUUCCGCUUUUUAAUUAAGCAUAAAAUCCAGUAAUGUUUGGUCCAGUGUGUAGAAAAAAAAGACUCCUUACAUAUUAAUAAAGCAAAGUGACCCCUCAGACAAACAAACAGCAAAAAAGUGCAUUUGUUUUUUUUUACCAGAGCAGAGCAAAGCAGAGCCUUUUAGUAAUGCAGACCAAUACAGAAGACUAAACAGUCCAGCCACCACGAGAAGCAGAACAGAAUAAAUGAAUACAUCCAUCGACAAUGAAUCCAUCGCAUGUCUCUGAAUGUCUCAGAUAAAUAAGAUGGAUUAUAGUAA
Molecule: long non-coding RNA, 1493 nt
Organism: Electrophorus electricus (electric eel)
Lineage: Eukaryota; Metazoa; Chordata; Actinopteri; Gymnotiformes; Gymnotidae
Source: RefSeq, a predicted model, not a curated record